GACGAACGCUGGCGGCGUGCUUAACACAUGCAAGUCGAACGGAAAGGCCCUUCGGGGUACUCGAGUGGCGAACGGGUGGGUAACACGUGGGUGAUCUGCUCUGCACUUUGGGAUAAGCCUGGGAAACUGGGUCUAAUACCGAAUAGGACCACGCGCUUCAUGGUGUGUGGGGGAAAGCUUUUGCGGUGUGGGAUGGGCCCGCGGCCUAUCAGCUUGUUGGUGGGGUAAUGGCCUACCAAGGCGACGACGGGUAGCCGGCCUGAGAGGGUGACCGGGCACACUGGGACUGAGAUACGGCCCAGACUCCUACGUGAGGCAGCAGUGGGGAAUAUUGCACAAUGGGCGCAAGCCUGAUGCAGCGACGCCGGGUGAGUGAUGACGGCCUUCGGGUUGUAAACCUCUUUCAAUAGGGACGAAGCGGAAGUGACGGUACCUAUAGAAGAAGCACCGGCUAACUACGUG
This 462-nucleotide ribosomal RNA is filed under the name uncultured bacterium. RNAcentral's name for it is "partial 16S ribosomal RNA". It matches the Rfam family "Bacterial small subunit ribosomal RNA", at positions 28 to 507 of the family's 1533-position model. The record is from RNAcentral.